This 429-nucleotide ribosomal RNA is filed under the name Fusobacteriota bacterium. RNAcentral's name for it is "Fusobacteria bacterium partial 16S ribosomal RNA". It matches the Rfam family "Bacterial small subunit ribosomal RNA", at positions 355 to 776 of the family's 1533-position model. Lineage: Bacteria; Fusobacteriati; Fusobacteriota. The record is from RNAcentral.
UGGGGAAUAUUGCACAAUGGGCGCAAGCCUGAUGCAGCCAUGCCGCGUGUAUGAAGAAGGCCUUCGGGUUGUAAAGUACUUUCAGCGGGGAGGAAGGGAGUAAAGUUAAUACCUUUGCUCAUUGACGUUACCCGCAGAAGAAGCACCGGCUAACUCCGUGCCAGCAGCCGCGGUAAUACGGAGGGUGCAAGCGUUAAUCGGAAUUACUGGGCGUAAAGCGCACGCAGGCGGUUUGUUAAGUCAGAUGUGAAAUCCCCGGGCUCAACCUGGGAACUGCAUCUGAUACUGGCAAGCUUGAGUCUCGUAGAGGGGAGUAGAAUUCCAGGUGUAGCGGUGAAAUGCGUAGAGAUCUGGAGGAAUACCGGUGGCGAAGGCGGCCCCCUGGACGAAGACUGACGCUAAGGUGCGAAAGCGUGGGGAGCAAACAGG